RNAcentral lists this long non-coding RNA (1197 nucleotides) under Nicotiana tabacum (common tobacco). Its description in RNAcentral is "long non-coding RNA (NTAB_LNC005688)". The record is from RNAcentral. Lineage: Eukaryota; Viridiplantae; Streptophyta; Magnoliopsida; Solanales; Solanaceae.
ACAAAUCAAGACUUCUAAAAAACUGGCAACCAAAUAAACGAGUAAACUCUUAUAAAUAUAAAAAAUCUAUGAAAUUAAAGCAUCUGAUGCUUGAAAUGGUCAUGGACUCUGACAACGAUGUGUCGAUCUUCAAGCAAAUAGUCUGUUCCAUUCGAAAAUGAAACAAGUUCUGUAGAUACAAGUGAAGUUUCCUAGACACCCCCAUGCUUCAAAUGAUUAAAGGCAAUGUCUGCUUUCAACAGCCAUCGAUAUUUAUCAAUUAGAUGAAGAUUCGCAAUAGAAAUAUGAAUCCAAACGUCAGAAUCAAAGGAUGGAAGAAUCUGGACAUUACGCACAAUAUCCAAAAUAAUUUUAACGAGUUAAACUAAUUUCACAGUUGAUACUAACAUGUAGACAUUCUAUGACUAAAAUCAGCACUAAUCCAGAAGAUAGAAUACAGAGACAAAUUAAUCAGAAACUCGACUAAAGAUGCGACAAAUUUAGGUCGAGAAGGUAGAGUUCUCAAAUGUGAUUAUCAGUCAGCAAAGAAAGAAAUCAGUACAAGAAACCAGCCAGACUUGUUUCCAGUUAUAGAAAAGGCCAUUCUUAGAAUUCGAACUAUAGAUAAUCAAAUAGUGACUGCAAACCACUACCAAUAAUAACCAAAUUAGUUGAAUUCCAUUCAUUAAUCUAACAAGCCAACACUUUAAUCUAAGGAAACAGGCUUUAAACCAUUUAUGAACCGAUUGCACCCAAGCUUUCAUUAUUUUUUAAAUCAAACACCAAUGAAAAUAGGUAGGAAUAAAGAAAAGAACCUGAAUGAGAGUUUUUAAUUAUUUAUGUUCGGAAGUUAUUACAAACAAAUCUGGCGCUGGGAUUCAGUCUUCAAACAGCAAAUGAGCAAAAUACAGCAAUGAAAACGGAUUCGAAUUCACGAACUUAAACCUUACCAGCACUUCAAAAACCUCUAUUAACCUCUAUGUUUUUUAGCCCCAAAUCCGAGUGAAAACUCAAAUAUUUUUGUAUGUUAAAAAAAACUAAGAGAAGAAAACGUUUUUUUCAAACCUAAGAAAAAUCCUUUUUCUGAAUUUCCCUAAGAUAUUUUAACCAAAAAAAAUUUCUCCCCUUUUUGCCAAGAAAUCCUUACCUUAUAUACAAACCUCUAAAAUUCUCCAAAAAUCCGAAAAUCCAAUCCGUUUGUAAAUGAUUUUAGGGACA